Molecule: long non-coding RNA, 395 nt
Organism: Carassius auratus (goldfish)
Lineage: Eukaryota; Metazoa; Chordata; Actinopteri; Cypriniformes; Cyprinidae
Exons: 4
Source: RefSeq, a predicted model, not a curated record
CACUCACUCGCUGAUGGGAUCACAGCAGGAUUAACGUUAUUCGCGAGACACGACGCGGUCAUGGUAAAAAAUACAGUGCAAAGGUAGAGAGUGAAGGUGUGGUGGUAUUGGCAGCAAGAAGGCUGCAAUAAUAUGGGCCUGAAAUGAAGUACCGGAACAUUAUCAGUCAUUCAAGCUAUGAUCCUGGCAGAUCUACUUCCUGAAAAGAAGACUCAGCAGAUCUUUUCAAGACACACUAGAUGGAGCGCGGAGAGACCGGACAGUUCCCACAGUGCUAGUUUUUCAGCACCCACACCCCCAACACAAAUUCAGAUAGAAGUUUUUAAUAAUAAAAAGUUCAUAUGAUAGUUUAUAUUUAGCUAUGAAGCAAUAGUUUAUUGUCAUAAAUAUUAAAC